Molecule: ribosomal RNA, 498 nt
Filed under: uncultured Glomeromycotina
Lineage: Eukaryota; Fungi; Glomeromycota
Description: partial small subunit ribosomal RNA
Rfam family: Eukaryotic small subunit ribosomal RNA
Source: RNAcentral
CCAAUAGCGUAUAUUAAAGUUGUUGCAGUUAAAAAGCUCGUAGUUGAACUUCAGGCCUGGCUGGACGGUCCGCCUUCCGGGCGAGCACUGUCUGUGGUCGGGUCCUACCUUCUGGCGAAGCGUCAUGGCCUUAACCGGCCGUGGCGGGGAACCAGGACUUUUACUGUGAAAAAAUUAGAGUGUUCAAAGCAGGCAAUUCGCUUGGAUACAUUAGCAUGGAAUAAUGGAAUAGGACAAUGGUUCUAUUUGUUGGUUUCUAGGACUGUUGUAAUUAUUAAUAGGGAUAGGUGGGGGCAUUAGUAUUCAAUUGUCAGAGGUGAAAUUCUUGGAUUUAUUGAAGACUAACUACUGCGAAAGCAUUUGCCAAGGAUGUUUUCAUUAAUCAAGAACGAAAGUUAGGUGAUCGAAGACGAUCAGAUACCGUCGUAGUCUUAACCAUAAACUAUGCCGACUAGGAAUCGGGCGAUGUUGACAAAAUGACGCGCUCGGCACCUCAUG